AAAGACUUUAUUUUUAGAUUUCUGUAUGUAAAUUUAACUGUUCGUCUUAUUUUUUUAUAAUCAAUAUUUUUAUUGUUAUUAUAUGGUAACAUAUGAAUAGUAAUUCAUGCAUAACUAUUUUUUUUUAAUUUAUUUAUAAAAUUUUUGAAUAAGAUGAACGGUCAAAGUUGGACAGAGAAAAAAAAGUCCCUUGGG
This 195-nucleotide microRNA precursor is filed under the name Leersia perrieri. RNAcentral's name for it is "MIR812 microRNA precursor family". It matches the Rfam family "MIR812 microRNA precursor family". Lineage: Eukaryota; Viridiplantae; Streptophyta; Magnoliopsida; Poales; Poaceae. The record is from Rfam by way of RNAcentral.